GUCCUGCAAGCUCAGUGGUUAGAGCACUCGCCUGGCAAGCGAGAGUACCUGGAUUUGAUUCCCAGGUGGGACA
This is a non-coding RNA of Callorhinchus milii (elephant shark), 73 nucleotides long. NCBI's taxonomy places the organism in Eukaryota, Metazoa, Chordata, Chondrichthyes, Chimaeriformes, Callorhinchidae. The record is from the annotation of a RefSeq genome assembly.